UACGUAGGUGACCAGCGUUGUCCGGAUUUACUGGGCGUAAAGCGUGCGCAGGCGGUUUGCUAAGACAGGUGUGAAAUCCCCGGGCUUAACCUGGGAACUGCGCGUGUAACUGGCAAGCUGGAGUGUGGCAGAGGGGGGUGGAAUUCCACGUGUAGCAGUGAAAUGCGUAGAGAUGUGGAGGAACACCGAUGGCGAAGGCAGCCCCCUGGGCUAACACUGACGCUCAUGCACGAAAGCGUGGGGAGCAAACAGG
Molecule: ribosomal RNA, 253 nt
Filed under: uncultured bacterium
Lineage: Bacteria
Description: partial 16S ribosomal RNA
Rfam family: Bacterial small subunit ribosomal RNA
Source: RNAcentral